ACGAACGCUGGCGGCGUGCUUAACACAUGCAAGUCGAACGGAAAGGCCCUGCUUGCAGGGUACUCGAGUGGCGAACGGGUGAGUAACACGUGGGUGAUCUGCCCUGCACUUCGGGAUAAGCCUGGGAAACUGGGUCUAAUACCGGAUAGGAGCCAUUUUUAGUGUGAUGGUUGGAAAGUUUUUUCGGUGUAGGAUGAGCUCGCGGCCUAUCAGCUUGUUGGUGGGGUAAUGGCCUACCAAGGCGGCGACGGGUAGCCGGCCUGAGAGGGUGGACGGCCACAUUGGGACUGAGAUACGGCCCAGACUCCUACGGGAGGCAGCAGUGGGGAAUAUUGCACAAUGGGCGCAAGCCUGAUGCAGCGACGCCGCGGGGGGGAGGACGGCCUUCGGGUUGUAAACUCCUUUCGCUAGGGACGAAGCUUUUUGUGACGGUACCUAGAUAAGAAGCACCGGCUAACUACGUG
Molecule: ribosomal RNA, 464 nt
Filed under: uncultured bacterium
Lineage: Bacteria
Description: partial 16S ribosomal RNA
Rfam family: Bacterial small subunit ribosomal RNA
Source: RNAcentral